GACGAACGCUGGCGGCGUGCUUAACACAUGCAAGUCGAACGGAAAGGCCCUGCUUUUGUGGGGUGCUCGAGUGGCGAAAGGGUGAGUAACACGUGAGUAACCUGCCCUUGACUUUGGGAUAACUGCAGGAAACUGGGGCUAAUACCGGAUAGGAGCGCCUGCUGCAUGGUGGGGGUUGGAAAGUUUCGGCGGUUGGGGAUGGACUCGCGGCUUAUCAGCUUGUUGGUGGGGUAGUGGCUUACCAAGGCUUUGACGGGUAGCCGGCCUGAGAGGGUGACCGGCCACAUUGGGACUGAGAUACGGCCCAGACUCCUACGGGAGGCAGCAGUGGGGAAUAUUGCACAAUGGGCGGAAGCCUGAUGCAGCAACGCCGCGUGCGGGAUGACGGCCUUCGGGUUGUAAACCGCUUUCGCCUGUGACGAAGCGUGAGUGACGGUAAUGGGUAAAGAAGCACCGGCUAACUACGUG
This 468-nucleotide ribosomal RNA is filed under the name uncultured bacterium. RNAcentral's name for it is "partial 16S ribosomal RNA". It matches the Rfam family "Bacterial small subunit ribosomal RNA", at positions 28 to 507 of the family's 1533-position model. The record is from RNAcentral.